AGUGAACGCUGGCGGUAGGCCUAACACAUGCAAGUCGAACGGCAGCACAGUAAGAGCUUGCUCUUACGGGUGGCGAGUGGCGGACGGGUGAGGAAUACAUCGGAAUCUACUUUUUCGUGGGGGAUAACGUAGGGAAACUUACGCUAAUACCGCAUACGACCUACGGGUGAAAGCAGGGGAUCUUCGGACCUUGCGCGAUUGAAUGAGCCGAUGUCGGAUUAGCUAGUUGGCGGGGUAAAGGCCCACCAAGGCGACGAUCCGUAGCUGGUCUGAGAGGAUGAUCACCCACACUGGAACGGAGACACGGUCCAGACUCCUACGGGAGGCAGCAGUGGGGAAUAUUGGACAAUGGGCGCAAGCCUGAUCCAGCCAUACCGCGUGGGUGAAGAAGGCCUUCGGGUUGUAAAGCCCUUUUGUUGGGAAAGAAAAGCAGCAGGUUAAUACCCCGCUGUUCUGACGGUACCCAAAGAAUAAGCACCGGCUAACUUCGU
This 491-nucleotide ribosomal RNA is filed under the name uncultured bacterium. RNAcentral's name for it is "partial 16S ribosomal RNA". It matches the Rfam family "Bacterial small subunit ribosomal RNA", at positions 29 to 506 of the family's 1533-position model. The record is from RNAcentral.